Long non-coding RNA from Melanotaenia boesemani (Boeseman's rainbowfish), 143 nucleotides. RefSeq lists it as uncharacterized. The transcript is spliced from 3 exons. The record is from RefSeq and is a predicted model, not a curated record. Lineage: Eukaryota; Metazoa; Chordata; Actinopteri; Atheriniformes; Melanotaeniidae.
UGAUGGAGAUGCAAAGGCACACUUAAUAAUGUGUAAUUCCGUCCUGGAGGGAAACUCUCCCCUUGUUUGUUUUGCUGUGGGCAGAUCAGCCCUGUUCGAUAUAAACUGUUCAACAUAACACAAAAAAUGCUAAAAGAAUCUAG